This 384-nucleotide transfer-messenger RNA is filed under the name Anaerolineae bacterium CG1_02_58_13. It matches the Rfam family "transfer-messenger RNA". From Rfam's summary of the family: Bacterial tmRNA, also known as 10Sa RNA or SsrA, is named for its dual tRNA and mRNA-like properties. Its role is to liberate the mRNA from a stalled ribosome. The record is from RNAcentral. Lineage: Bacteria; Bacillati; Chloroflexota; Anaerolineae.
GGGGAUGACAGGCUUCGACGGAGGAGGCUGGUCCCGGAAUGCGAGCCGAGAGGCGCCGAUCUCGAUAACUCAGCGCAAAACCUCAAGUGCCAAUCGCACUUCCUACGCUGCUAUGCCCCUCGCUGCCUAAGCGAGGACGUAACAGUCGGUCUCAUUCGUGAGACCCGUCCACCGGCCCCGAUCUCCGCCAGGGACCGGCCCGGGCGAGACAAACGCGGAGUGCUGCGCGUUACGCCGCUACCCUGCGCAAAAGACAAAGCGGCUGGCUGCAGGCGAUUCGUGCCGGACGAGAUGCCUGCGGUGACCACCUUCGACCGGCUACGCUCGUAGAUUUCCGAGGGUCGAUUCUUUCGGACCCGGGUUCGAUUCCCGGCAUCUCCACUU